AGUGAACGCUGGCGGUAGGCCUAACACAUGCAAGUCGAACGGCAGCACAGUAAGAGCUUGCUCUUACGGGUGGCGAGUGGCGGACGGGUGAGGAAUACAUCGGAAUCUACUUUUUCGUGGGGGAUAACGUAGGGAAACUUACGCUAAUACCGCAUACGACCUACGGGUGAAAGCAGGGGAUCUUCGGACCUUGCGCGAUUGAAUGAGCCGAUGUCGGAUUAGCUAGUUGGCGGGGUAAAGGCCCACCAAGGCGACGAUCCGUAGCUGGUCUGAGAGGAUGAUCAGCCACACUGGAACUGGGACACGGUCCAGACUCCUAAGGGAGGCAGCAGUGGGGAAUAUUGGACAAUGGGCGGAAGCCUGGUCCAGCCAUACCGCGUGGGUGAAGAAGGCCUUCGGGUUGUAAAGCCCUUUUGUUGGGAAAGAAAAGCAGCAGGUUAAUACCCCGCUGUUCUGACGGUACCCAAAGAAUAAGCACCGGCUAACUUCGUG
This 492-nucleotide ribosomal RNA is filed under the name uncultured bacterium. RNAcentral describes it as "partial 16S ribosomal RNA". It matches the Rfam family "Bacterial small subunit ribosomal RNA", at positions 29 to 507 of the family's 1533-position model. The record is from RNAcentral.